UUUACCCUGCUGUAUUCGUGCUUUAAAUUUGUAGAGGAACCGCAUUUGGAACGGGAAUCGAGCCAUGAGUGGCAUACAUGCCUGUAUUUAUACAGGAUCUAUAAGGCUCAAAAGGUAGAUGCCCACCUUGUAACUUUGGUUUCGAGGUCAAUUAAAGUACGGUAUGAGCAGGGCUUAA
RNAcentral lists this non-coding RNA (178 nucleotides) under Candidatus Cloacimonadota bacterium. Its description in RNAcentral is "6S RNA". It matches the Rfam family "6S / SsrS RNA". From Rfam's summary of the family: E. coli 6S RNA was the first non coding RNA to be sequenced, but its function was unknown until recently. It consists of 184 nucleotides that fold into an extended hairpin structure with a large single-stranded internal bulge. The record is from RNAcentral. Lineage: Bacteria; Pseudomonadati; Candidatus Cloacimonadota.